RNAcentral lists this ribosomal RNA (497 nucleotides) under uncultured bacterium. RNAcentral's name for it is "partial 16S ribosomal RNA". It matches the Rfam family "Bacterial small subunit ribosomal RNA", at positions 28 to 507 of the family's 1533-position model. The record is from RNAcentral.
GAUGAACGCUGGCGGCGUGCCUAAUACAUGCAAGUCGAGCGAACGGACGAGAAGCUUGCUUCUCUGAUGUUAGCGGCGGACGGGUGAGUAACACGUGGAUAACCUACCUAUAAGACUGGGAUAACUUCGGGAAACCGGAGCUAAUACCGGAUAAUAUUUUGAACCGCAUGGUUCAAAAGUGAAAGACGGUCUUGCUGUCACUUAUAGAUGGAUCCGCGCUGCAUUAGCUAGUUGGUAAGGUAACGGCUUACCAAGGCAACGAUGCAUAGCCGACCUGAGAGGGUGAUCGGCCACACUGGAACUGAGACACGGUCCAGACUCCUACGGGAGGCAGCAGUAGGGAAUCUUCCGCAAUGGGCGAAGGCCUGACGGAGCAACGCCGCGUGAGUGAUGAAGGUCUUCGGAUCGUAAAACUCUGUUAUUAGGGAAGAACAUAUGUGUAAGUAACUGUGCACGUCUUGACGGUACCUAAUCAGAAAGCCACGGCUAACUACGUG